RNAcentral lists this transfer RNA (91 nucleotides) under Hypericibacter terrae. RNAcentral's name for it is "tRNA-Thr". Lineage: Bacteria; Pseudomonadati; Pseudomonadota; Alphaproteobacteria; Rhodospirillales; Dongiaceae. The record is from RNAcentral.
GCUCGAUCUGGUUGACGGCCGGGACGACGCCGGUCGCGUCGAUGAUCCGGGUCAGAUGCGCCGCCGUGAAGUUCGAGACGCCGAUCGAGCG